GAGUGCAUGUGGGAGUGUGUGUCGGACAGACAGAGAGUGAGAAGCAGAAAGCUAGAGAGAUACAAGGUGAGGAGUGAGGUUUAAUUUGAGACAUUAAAGGAGCAUCUCAUUCACUUCCCUUCUUUGUUGCCAUGACAA
Molecule: long non-coding RNA, 138 nt
Organism: Sinocyclocheilus anshuiensis
Lineage: Eukaryota; Metazoa; Chordata; Actinopteri; Cypriniformes; Cyprinidae
Exons: 2
Source: RefSeq, a predicted model, not a curated record